UGUACCAUGCUGGUAGCCAGUA
This 22-nucleotide microRNA is filed under the name Danio rerio (zebrafish). Its description in RNAcentral is "Dre-Mir-7147_5p (mature (guide))". The record is from RNAcentral. Lineage: Eukaryota; Metazoa; Chordata; Actinopteri; Cypriniformes; Danionidae.